This 253-nucleotide ribosomal RNA is filed under the name uncultured bacterium. Its description in RNAcentral is "partial 16S ribosomal RNA". It matches the Rfam family "Bacterial small subunit ribosomal RNA", at positions 524 to 776 of the family's 1533-position model. The record is from RNAcentral.
UACGUAGGGGGCAAGCGUUAUCCGGAAUUACUGGGUGUAAAGGGAGCGUAGACGGUGAUGUAAGUCUGGAGUGAAAGGCGGGGGCCCAACCCCCGGACUGCUCUGGAAACUAUAUGACUGGAGUGCAGGAGAGGUGAGCGGAAUUCCUAGUGUAGCGGUGAAAUGCGUAGAUAUCACACAGAACACCGAUUGCGAAGGCAUCUGACGAAUCGGAGAUUGACGCUGAUGCACGAAAGCGUGGGUAUCGAACAGG